CCUUCCCAGAUGGGAGGACAUGGAAGCUGGACCUGGAAGGAAGGGGCAAGAGCUGAGGGAAAUCCAAUCUAAGCAGAAGGAACUUCUCGUGGAAAAGCGUAUCUUUACUAGAAGCAUGCUGAGCUUCCAGAUUCAGCAGAGCUCCUCUUAGCUGUCUGCCAGACAGUGUUGGGGGCAGCUGGAAGUGUGUGAAAGGGGUCUCCCAUGGCACACCAAGAAAUAAGACCUUCUCCAUUGGAGAGUGGGGGGCCACGGAGGUUUUGUUCACCUUAGAAACUUCACACUGCAGCAAUGAGGGGGAGAGCAAGGUGGACAGAGCUGCUGUGUCUUGGGGAGCCCAAGUAUAGCUCUCCUGAAUGCCAAGGUCUACAUGCAGGGAGAAGCUUUACCAAUCAAGUGGUCCCUCAAGUCUAAACAAGUGGCACCGUGGCAGAAGUUACUGACAAAGUAGCAGGGGCGGCUCCUGGGCGGGUGCAGGGACAGUGUGCAGCUCUCACAUCAGUGUGGGAGGUCAUCGUACCUGCUUUUCCAGAUCACCCAUCAAGCCAGAAGAAGGCCCCAUGUUGGACUGCAGCUCUGAUAAGUGUGCCAGUCAUUGGGAUUAUGAACCAUAAUGCCCAUCAUCAGUACACAGUGGGGUUGAACCAGCAGCAGCAGCACUUUCCUUUUGUGAUCAAAGUGCCCCGGAUGAACACGGCCAUAUCUGAUAUAAAUUCAGUGUUGAUGUCUCAGAGCAUUUAUGAGAGCAACUUAGAGCCAUGAUGAAGAGUGAAGCAGGCAUGGCCGUUAGCAAUAUAAAGUCAUCUCUCUCUCCUACAUUUCAUACCUAUAUUGGCAAUAUAAAGGAAUCUCUCGCUCCUUCCACCCUUCUUCCACCCUCUUCUAUCCCUCUUCCACCCUUGAAAGGAGACAAAGCCAGUUCAUAUUCCAGAUGGGGCCACAGGUAGCACGUUCCUUCCCAGGUUCCUUCCCUGUCAUCACUCUGCCCACUCUUGUGCUCUUUCUAGCUCUAACUGUCACUCAGUUCCAAUUCUGGCUGCCACACGCCUUAGCCACACCAGGCUGCACCAUCUCAGCAGCAGGCUGUGAUAGGAGGACUGGCAGAGGUGGUUUACCUCAAGAGAUUCCUAUUGGAAGAGGAAGGAAAUAAGGAAGAACUGGCAAUAUAUGUAUAGAAUAGGCCUAUCUGUAGUGAUUUAGGAUAGAAUGGGGGAAUUGAAAGGAUAAGGAGGAGAAUUAACCCACCAGCACCUCCGUCAAGCUCUCAACAUUGAUAGAAGAAAGAAAUCACAACGAGGCAAAGACAAAGCCUUGCUUUUUAAGUGAGCCACAGCAGAAUGGACACCUGUCUAACAGAGUAAGAGCUCCAUGGGGAAAAGUCCAACAGCAUCAAGAUAUCCCUGUGAUCAAAACCAGCAAAUCAGCAGAGAUUAAAGUGCGGUCUCGCUCCAGAGAAUAAGAGCUGUGAAAGGAGCCUCGAGAUGUGGGGGCGGCAGACAGAGCCUGCACCUCGUGGAGCAGCGGAGGCAUGAUGGAUCCUUGCUGUGACUGGUGCCUGGACAUCCCUGCCAACCACCUUGGAGAAUGGCACCUUCUGAGUGUGCCUGAACCACUCUUCUCCUUGGCUACCACUCUGAGUACUAUCCCUAGAGACUACUGGCCACACACAUCCACAGUCUCAAUGUCCACAGAAGACAUUGUUUUGCAGCAUGCAAAAACAAUCUGAAAGAUGAUAAAAAGCAAUUUUCAUAAUUAAUAAAUUUCUACCUGCUGAUUAGGAAGUGUUAGAAAUAAAUAAACAAACAAACAAGUGUAAUUGUGACAUUUUGGCAAGGGUUCCAACUUAAGGACUGAAAUGUGCCCUUGCUCUGACUGUAUCUAAUUCAGUUCAAUUGAACAAACAUCCAUUGAAUAUCUAUUGUUUGUAAAGCUCUGGGCUAGCUGUUGUUCAGCAUAUGAUCUCUGUUCUCAGGUCAAAACAAAUGAGGCAGAAAAAGCUGAAUGCAUGAGAUGAAAACAAAAUUAAAAAUAAAACAGCCUUCUUCCUGGAGAUUCUAAUUCAAUAGGCUGGAUGGGGCCCAGGCAGCUAUAUUUUACCAAGCAUCAGCUCAGCCUGGUUCUGACCAGCAGGCAAGCACUCAGAAGGAGGCCAUCACUGUCUCUAAUUGGUGGUUGUCACAAAAAGCUGCAAAGGGGAGGUAUAGUCACCUUGAGAUAUUUCAACAACAACUGCAUGUUAAGUGCCUUGAAGGCACAGGUCAGACUUGGGCAAGUGGAGGACACAGAAGGGGGAUGUUUCCAGCAAGGAGCAGAGCUGUGGAGGCCGCAAAGUGCACCCUGAACGGCUGGCCCUCUUGAGAGAUGUCAAGAAGAACGUUGUUGGAACAGUUCAUUUCUAAAUGAACUCAUCAGCCUUACUUUUUUCCAUUAGUUCGCAUUUGGCCUCAUUUCUCAAUCCAGAAUGAUGCAAAGGAGCCAUAAACCUGAAUUAAGACAAACAAAAGUGACAUGGAUAAAUUUUCCUUGGACAUCAGAGCACCAGGGUUGAGAGAGGAGAGAGGAGGGCUCAUGUUUCAACUUGAGGCUUCCGCAGCUGCGUCCACAGCUGCGCCGCCAAGUUCAGAGUUGAGCAUUCAUGAGUGUGUGUCUUGUCAUGAACCAGGGGCCUCACUGUCACCACUAGGAGGACACACCAUAGACCUUCCUGGGCAACAAGAAAAGCUGAGCCACACUCUGCAAAUUCCAAAGGCCUGAGAGAAGUCCAGAGUCGGGACUUUUGAGGAAAACCAGUCCAUGCUAAAAAUUUGAAAAAUACAGAAAAUUAAGAAAAAACAGCAAGGCCCCAUAAUUAUGUAACACAGAGACUACCAGAAUAAUUAUGCAGAAAUAUUUCCUGCAUUUUUCCUUCAUGCGUUUUACAAGAUAGUUGGGACCACACAUUUUUGUAUUCUGCUUUUUUAAAUGGUUAACUAUUAUAGUAGAAGAAUUCCUCUUAUGUGAUUACAAAUAUAUCACAAAAUUAUUUCAAUAACCAUAACAUUUUAACACAUGAAUAUUUAUAAUAUAAUUAGCAAGGUAAUUCUAUUUUUGUAACUUUAGGUUUCUUUAAUUUUUCUCCAUUAUAAGUAAUGCUAAUUAAGCAGGCAUGACCAUGGGCCAAUGAAAAUAUCUAAGUCAAAAGCAGCAAUUUGUCUAUAGAUUUGAGUUUUUAAAAAAUGAUUAAAAACAAUACGUCAAUGUCAUAGAUGCCACUACUUUUGGAAAACAGUUUAUUGCAUCUUUCUCUGUUUAUCUGGUAUGAGUAUAAAUGGGCUUACAAUGAAAAAGCUCCCUUACCAAAGUGAUGUAGGAAUUAUUGCUUAGAGCUAUGAGACUGAGAGAUAGUGGGAUAUAAACAAAGGUCUCUUCUAAGGUCUUUAAAGGAGCUGGAAAAUACGUAGGUCAUGCAGAUGUUCCACUGCCGCCACCAGCCCCUCCUCCACCACUCCUCCCCUCCCCCUUGGGCCUCUUGCCUCCCUGCCCUCUGGUCUUGUCUUCAUUCUAGGGAAAGUCUCCCUCCAACAGCAGGCUGAUCCAGGCCCCCCUGGGGAGUGGGACCUUCUCCGUAUUCAGUAUUGGUGUCUGCAUCAAGGAUGGCAUGACAGUGGAACAUCCCUGAACAUAAAGAUUGGGAGAGUGAAAGGAAAAUAAAUCUCAGGACUUUAAAAGCACUAAGCCACAGGGAAAAUUCAUGCUGGGAAUUGUCUUGGGCCAACCUGCCUCCUAUUCUAUUCCUAAAUAAGAUAGCUACAAAGAUAAAAAAGCCAUAUACCCCCCUCACAAUUAUAAAAAAGCUAUAUACCUCCCUCACAACUAUAAAAAUGAUAUACACCUCCCUCCCUCUCUCACAAAAGGAAAUUCCUUGUGGACAAAUAACAGGCAGAACUCAAAGUCGUCCCUCUGCUCACACGAGACAAUGCAUACCUGAUUUUUUUCUUUUUUUGCCCUAUUGUUUCACUAAGCCAGACUAAGGCAUAAGUGACUAUUCCUGUAAAUUGUGUAUUCAGUGAAAAGCUAAUCAGAAACUCUAAAGAAUGUAACUGUUUUUUUCUUAUCUGCCUGUGACCUGGAAGCCCCCUCCCUGCUUGGCGUUGUCCUGCUUUCCGGACUGAAUCAAUGUACAUCUUACAUAUUAUACAAUGUACAUCUUACACAUAUAGAUUGAAGUCUCACGUCUCCCUAAAAUGUAUAAAACCAAGCUGUUCCCUGACCACCUUGGCUCAUGUUGUGAGGACCUCCUGAGGCUGCGUCACAGGUGCAUCCUUAACCUUGGCAAAAUAAACUUUCUAAAUUGAUUGAGACCCG
RNAcentral lists this long non-coding RNA (4344 nucleotides) under Homo sapiens (human). RNAcentral describes it as "HSALNT0121848". The record is from RNAcentral. Lineage: Eukaryota; Metazoa; Chordata; Mammalia; Primates; Hominidae.